UUUUUUUAACUGUAACAAAAUUUGUAUUUCAAAUAGAACCAACGUCUUACACAUUGUAUAUGCAGUAGCCAAUGAUCUACAUUGAGAAGCAUAAAUCAAAUUAGCUAUAUCUUCUGAUUUCAGAGUGAACAACCGUGUAUUUCAGCCGCUAAUCAGCCGUGACAAAAAAAUUCAGUGUAAAAAAGUUCUGAUCAUUUUCUGUUGCUACAUAAUUGCAUUUUGAUUCUAUAUUGAGAAUGAAUCCC
RNAcentral lists this unclassified non-coding RNA (245 nucleotides) under Hevea brasiliensis (rubber tree). The record is from RNAcentral. Lineage: Eukaryota; Viridiplantae; Streptophyta; Magnoliopsida; Malpighiales; Euphorbiaceae.